UACGGAGGAUGCGAGCGUUAUCCGGAUUUAUUGGGUUUAAAGGGUGCGUAGGCGGACUGUCAAGUCAGCGGUAAAAGCCCGGGGCUCAACCCCGGCGAGCCGUUGAAACUGGCGGGCUGGAGUUGGAGAGGGCGGUGGAACUCCAUGUGUGGCGGUAAAAUGCGUAGAUAUAUGGAAGAACACCAGUGGCGAAGGCGGCCGCCUGGCCUGUUGCUGACGCUGAGGCACGAAAGCGUGGGGAGCAAAUAGG
Molecule: ribosomal RNA, 250 nt
Filed under: uncultured bacterium
Lineage: Bacteria
Description: partial 16S ribosomal RNA
Rfam family: Bacterial small subunit ribosomal RNA
Source: RNAcentral